CCUACGGGUGGCAGCAGUGGGGAAUAUUGCACAAUGGGGGAAACCCUGAUGCAGCGACGCCGCGUGAGUGAAGAAGGAUUUCGGUACGUAAAGCUCUAUCAGCAGGGAAGAAAAUGACGGUACGUGACUAAGAAGCCGCGGAUAACUACGUGCCAGCAGGCGCGGUAAUACGUAGGGGGCAAGCGUUAUCCGGAGUUACUGGGUGUAACGGGAGCGUAGACGGCAGCGCCAGUCUGGAGUGACAUCCCAUGGCUUAACCCUGGGACGGCUUUGGAAACUGUGCAGCGGGAGUGCAGGAGCGGUAAGCGGCAUUCCUAGUGUAGCGGUGAAAUGCGUAGAUAUUAGGCGGAACCCCAGUGGCGCAGGCGGCUUACUGGACUGUAACUGACGUUGAGGCUCG
Molecule: ribosomal RNA, 400 nt
Filed under: uncultured bacterium
Lineage: Bacteria
Description: partial 16S ribosomal RNA
Rfam family: Bacterial small subunit ribosomal RNA
Source: RNAcentral